Molecule: small nucleolar RNA, 107 nt
Organism: Dioscorea cayenensis subsp. rotundata (Guinea yam)
Lineage: Eukaryota; Viridiplantae; Streptophyta; Magnoliopsida; Dioscoreales; Dioscoreaceae
Source: RefSeq, a predicted model, not a curated record
AAUCUGUGUUGCGGGCACUUUUGCAGGAGCUCCUUGAACCUUUCCCACGUCUUAAAUAGAGACUCUAAUUCUAAUUAUAUAAAGGAUGAGAUCACAUUCCUAAGCUU